UACGGGGGGGGCAAGCGUUGUUCGGAAUUACUGGGCGUAAAGGGCGCGUAGGCGGCCUUCUAAGUCGGACGUGAAAUCCCUCGGCUUAACCGAGGAACUGCGUCUGAUACUGGAAGGCUUGAAUCCGGGAGAGGGAUGUGGAAUUCCAGGUGUAGCGGUGAAAUGCGUAGAUAUCUGGAGGAAUACCGGUGGCGAAGGCGGCAUCCUGGACCGACAUUGACGCUGAGGAGCGAAAGCCAGGGGAGCAAACGGG
Molecule: ribosomal RNA, 253 nt
Filed under: uncultured bacterium
Lineage: Bacteria
Description: partial 16S ribosomal RNA
Rfam family: Bacterial small subunit ribosomal RNA
Source: RNAcentral